UAAGUUAAUAAGGGCGCACGGUGGAUGCCUUGGCACUAGGAGCCGACGAAGGACGUGACAAACGACGAUAUGCCUUGGGUAGCUGUAAGUAAGCGAUGAUCCAGGGAUUUCCGAAUGGGGGAACCCAACAGGUAAUACCUGUUACCUACAUCUGUUAAGGAUGUGAGGAGGAAGACGCAGUGAACUGAAACAUCUAAGUAGCUGCAGGAAGAGAAAGCAAAAGCGAUUGCCUUAGUAGCGGCGAGCGAAACGGCAGAAGGGCAAACCGAAGAGUUUACUCUUCGGGGUUGUAGGACUGCAAUGUGGACUCAAAGAUUAUAGAAGAAUGAUUUGGGAAGAUCAGCCAAAGAGAGUAAUAGCCUCGUAUUUAAAAUAGUCUUUGUACUUAGCAGUAUCCUGAGUACGGCGGGACACGUGAAAUCCCGUCGGAAUCUGGGAGGACCAUCUCCCAACCCUAAAUACUCCCUAGUGACCGAUAGUGAACCAGUACCGUGAGGGAAAGGUGAAAAGCACCCCGGGAGGGGAGUGAAAUAGAACCUGAAACCGUGUGCCUACAACAAGUUCGAGCCCGUUAAUGGGUGAGAGCGUGCCUUUUGUAGAAUGAACCGGCGAGUUACGUUAUGAUGCGAGGUUAAGUUGAAGAGACGGAGCCGUAGGGAAACCGAGUCUGAAUAGGGCGCCUUAGUAUCAUGACGUAGACCCGAAACCAUGUGACCUACCCAUGAGCAGGUUGAAGGUGCGGUAAGACGCACUGGAGGACCGAACCAGGGCACGUUGAAAAGUGCUUGGAUGACUUGUGGGUAGCGGAGAAAUUCCAAACGAACUUGGAGAUAGCUGGUUCUCUCCGAAAUAGCUUUAGGGCUAGCGUCGACAUUAGAGAUUCUUGGAGGUAGAGCACUGUUUGGGUGAGGGGUCCAUCCCGGAUUACCAAUCUCAGAUAAACUCCGAAUGCCAAUGAAUUAUGGUCGGCAGUCAGACUGCGAGUGCUAAGAUCCGUAGUCGAAAGGGAAACAGCCCAGACCACCAGCUAAGGUCCCAAAAUAAUUGUUAAGUGGAAAAGGAUGUGGGGUUGCACAGACAACUAGGAUGUUAGCUUAGAAGCAGCUAUUCAUUCAAAGAGUGCGUAAUAGCUCACUAGUCGAGUGACCCUGCGCCGAAAAUGUACCGGGGCUAAAACAAUUUACCGAAGCUGUGGAUACCUUUAUAGGUAUGGUAGGAGAGCGUUCUAUGUGUGAUGAAGGUAUACCGUGAGGAGUGCUGGAACGCAUAGAAGUGAGAAUGCCGGUAUGAGUAGCGAAAGACAGGUGAGAAUCCUGUCCACCGUAAGACUAAGGUUUCCAGGGGAAGGCUCGUCCGCCCUGGGUUAGUCGGGACCUAAGGAGAGACCGAAAGGUGUAUCCGAUGGACAACAGGUUGAUAUUCCUGUACUAGAGUAUGUAGUGAUGGAGGGACGCAGUAGGCUAACUAAAGCAGACGAUUGGAAGAGUCUGUCUAAGCAGUGAGGUGUGAAUUGAGUCAAAUGCUUAAUUCUAUAACAUUGAGCUGUGAUGGGGAGCGAAGUUUAGUAGCGAAGUUAGUGACGUCACACUGCCAAGAAAAGCUUCUAGCGUUUAAACAUACUCUACCCGUACCGCAAACCGACACAGGUAGUCGAGGCGAGUAGCCUCAGGUGAGCGAGAGAACUCUCGUUAAGGAACUCGGCAAAAUGACCCCGUAACUUCGGGAGAAGGGGUGCUGACUUUAAGUCAGCCGCAGUGAAUAGGCCCAAGCAACUGUUUAUCAAAAACACAGCUCUCUGCUAAAUCGUAAGAUGAUGUAUAGGGGGUGACGCCUGCCCGGUGCUGGAAGGUUAAGAGGAGUGCUUAGCGUAAGCGAAGGUAUGAAUUGAAGCCCCAGUAAACGGCGGCCGUAACUAUAACGGUCCUAAGGUAGCGAAAUUCCUUGUCGGGUAAGUUCCGACCCGCACGAAAGGCGUAAUGAUUUGGGCACUGUCUCAACGAGAGACUCGGUGAAAUUUUAGUACCUGUGAAGAUGCAGGUUACCCGCGACAGGACGGAAAGACCCCAUGGAGCUUUACUGCAGUUUGAUAUUGAGUGUCUGUACCACAUGUACAGGAUAGGUAGGAGUCUAAGAGAUCGGGACGCCAGUUUCGAAGGAGACGCUGUUGGGAUACUACCCUUGUGUUAUGGCCACUCUAACCCAGAUAGGUGAUCCCUAUCGGAGACAGUGUCUGACGGGCAGUUUGACUGGGGCGGUCGCCUCCUAAAAGGUAACGGAGGCGCCCAAAGGUUCCCUCAGAAUGGUUGGAAAUCAUUCGCAGAGUGUAAAGGUAUAAGGGAGCUUGACUGCGAGAGCUACAACUCGAGCAGGGACGAAAGUCGGGCUUAGUGAUCCGGUGGUUCCGUAUGGAAGGGCCAUCGCUCAACGGAUAAAAGCUACCCUGGGGAUAACAGGCUUAUCUCCCCCAAGAGUUCACAUCGACGGGGAGGUUUGGCACCUCGAUGUCGGCUCGUCGCAUCCUGGGGCUGUAGUCGGUCCCAAGGGUUGGGCUGUUCGCCCAUUAAAGCGGCACGCGAGCUGGGUUCAGAACGUCGUGAGACAGUUCGGUCCCUAUCCGUCGCGGGCGUAGGAAAUUUGAGAGGAUCUGCUCCUAGUACGAGAGGACCAGAGUGGACUUACCGCUGGUGUACCAGUUGUCUUGCCAAAGGCAUCGCUGGGUAGCUAUGUAGGGAAGGGAUAAACGCUGAAAGCAUCUAAGUGUGAAACCCACCUCAAGAUGAGAUUUCCCAUGAUUAUAUAUCAGUAAGAGCCCUGAGAGAUGAUCAGGUAGAUAGGUUAGAAGUGGAAGUGUGGCGACACAUGUAGCGGACUAAUACUAAUAGCUCGAGGACUUAUCCG
RNAcentral lists this ribosomal RNA (2898 nucleotides) under Streptococcus pneumoniae GA41565. Its description in RNAcentral is "bacterial LSU rRNA". It matches the Rfam family "Bacterial large subunit ribosomal RNA". The record is from RNAcentral. Lineage: Bacteria; Bacillati; Bacillota; Bacilli; Lactobacillales; Streptococcaceae.